AACGAACGCUGGCGGCAGGCUUAACACAUGCAAGUCGAGCGCCCCGCAAGGGGAGCGGCAGACGGGUGAGUAACGCGUGGGAAUCUACCCAUCUCUACGGAAUAACGCAUGGAAACGUGUGCUAAUACCGUAUACGCCCUUAGGGGGAAAGAUUUAUCGGAGAUGGAUGAGCCCGCGUUGGAUUAGCUAGUUGGUGGGGU
RNAcentral lists this ribosomal RNA (200 nucleotides) under uncultured bacterium. RNAcentral's name for it is "partial 16S ribosomal RNA". It matches the Rfam family "Bacterial small subunit ribosomal RNA", at positions 29 to 258 of the family's 1533-position model. The record is from RNAcentral.